AUGUUCAAGCUCUGCAACUUGAAGCCAGCUUUGCCAACCACCUUUCCCGUUCCAGAUUUCAGCGACAAAGAUAUGUGUGAGAAGAUCAACUUUGCCAUUGAUAAGAGCCUGUUCUUAUCAACUGAUGCUGAAAAGAAUCAAAUUGACAUGGAGGAAGCAGGGAAGGGUCUUGACUGGGUUCAUUCAAAGCAAAAAUACAAGGAAUAUUUAAAGCAGCUCCCAGACCUAAGCUCCAGCAAGAGCAAGGCAGCAUCCACGGCAAACCCGCACGUGGUCCAGAAGUGUAAAGCAGUUUCAAUGAAGAAGAAUCUGCAGUUGCCUCAAACCAAGGAGAAGAUGGUGAGUGAAGAUGCUGAAGUAAAUAUGGUCAAGGAAGCUGUGCUUCAAACUGAUAUGCCAACAGUAGUGAGCAGAGAGCCAACCAAUGUCAGAGAAGUUCAACAGAUCAAGGGGAAGACUCCCCUUUCAACAGUCCCACCAAAACCACCUAAGCAGAAGAUUGUCAAGUUUGCCAGGGGCGCAAAGGGGGAACAGGCCACAAAAGGGGUGCCAAGUUCUGCCAGGUUGCUGCCAACUCAGACUGGAAAGAUGCCAACUACAGAUACCAGUGUGCCAACUGAUGUGUCAGUUAGCAGUAUGGUCACAGUCAAAACCACCACAGCUGGUCAGGAAGGCACCACUGCAACUGCAAGUCCCAAGGUGCCUACUGAUAGAGAUGCUUCAAUGCCAAACACAAAAGGAGGUGAUCCAACUAUCAAAGUGCCGUCCCCAAGAGUUGUCUUUCAGCAACCAUUAACACAAGAGGAGGUGUUCGACAUUAUAAGUAGGUGCAAGCCUCCAAGGCCGCCAACUACAACACUAUUGUGA
Molecule: ribosomal RNA, 867 nt
Filed under: Triticum aestivum (bread wheat)
Lineage: Eukaryota; Viridiplantae; Streptophyta; Magnoliopsida; Poales; Poaceae
Description: partial small subunit ribosomal RNA
Source: RNAcentral